Molecule: long non-coding RNA, 4801 nt
Organism: Mobula hypostoma (lesser devil ray)
Lineage: Eukaryota; Metazoa; Chordata; Chondrichthyes; Myliobatiformes; Myliobatidae
Exons: 5
Source: RefSeq, a predicted model, not a curated record
UCAGGUCACCAUUUUUUCCACUGUGCAAACAGGCAGUCCAGCUUUGCCUCUGCUUACUGACUUGUGACUGCUUAUCUCGCUCGACUCCAAGUGAGAUCUCAAGCGUGACUGAACCCACCUCUGUGGCAAACAAUGACCGAGUCAGGCUGGUGUGUCCUGCAGUUAGUUACCUAAUGCAAUCUUAUGGACAAUUUUUAUUUGCGGUAUUUAUCAACGCAUUAAAAUCUCUACCUGGACCAGAAGUGGUAAAUAAGACGCUCUAAUUUCUGUGCGCUGAGACUGCGAAAGUUUCAGAUUCUUGCACAGCCUGUACUCAAUGUGACUCCAGACCUCAAAUAAGGUUUUGUCAACACUGCUCCAUGUGGACAUGAGAAAUCUAGUAGCAGCCAAUCUUGGAACAGGCCUAUUCUCUACAGGCAGUAUUGGUGGACAUGCAAGCCAAAGCCUUUGCCUUUUGGAAGUCCACAGAAUUUUGGAUUGAACUGUGCACAAAGAAAGAGGUGGCAGUUGAGAAGAUUCACCCAGGAUGUGUUGCUGUGCCAUUUCUCGAAGCUCUUUACAACGAGAAUGGGAUCCUAUUGAAUACUGGAGUUCUGAAAGACUGUGAAUAUUUAGUAAUCAUCAGCAAAUAUCCCCUAUCUGGCCUUGUGAUGGAAUGAAAAUCAUUGUUGUCGAUUGGGAUGAAAACUUUGCCUUAAGGAACUCCUGCAGUGAUAUAUUGGGUUUGGGCUGAUUGAUCAACAACUACAGUAUAUCCUUCUCCCUCUGUGUAACUUCAACCACCUCUGACGCCCAUUCACUGCAGUUCAUCUUGGUAAAAUGCUGUACUUUCCUGGACAAAGUCUUGCCCUGAUCUGCAUGAUCUGACAAAUCACCAAGAAAUAUAUGUUGGUUUCAAACUCACCUACCACACUCUUGAGCAUCAUUUCAAGUUAGUAUUUUUCUCUAAAUGCAGAAGACUGUUUAUGUGUGUCUUUGGCACAUUCCAAACCACUUGUUCUGCCUACCCAAUAAUGAUAGUCAUUGUUAAUACAGGAAACACAACAGCCAGUGGUACAUGGCAAGGGGAGACUAUCAUUAGACAUUGUAACAUUGAUAAGAUUCAUGGGCAGUAAACACAGUAUCAAUUCAAUUGGAACAAGAGAAUUUCAGGUGCAGUGUAACCAAAACACUUCUCUCCAUCCUCCAGUAAGUCGCAACAGCAUCAACUUCAGAUAUGCAACCAGACUUUUGAUAGGCUAUCAUUUAUCAAUAGGUUGAAGAGGAAACCAAGUGAGUACAGAACUGUUCAAAUGCAAUUUACCCAUUUGCCGAAAGCCAAAAUCAUUUCCUGGCAGUGCAGCUGGCAUGAACCCCAAGUUAUUUUCUAACACAUUCCUUCCUUCCAGUGAUUAGGAAUGGAGGAGGCCACUUGGCCCCUCAACCCUCUGCUGCCACUCAGUAUGAUCACCACAGUUCUAUCCCAGAGCCCUCUAACAUGCCAGUUCCUCAUUACCUUCAUUCCUCAAACUUUCAAAAGUUUACCUUCCUUAAAUAUGCACCCGAUUAACCAACCUCCAUAGCUCUGCAGUAGAAACAUCCAAAGAUUCAUGGGAUGAAGUUCCGACACAUGUCACAUUCGAGUGACCACCCCUUCACUGAAGUUACAUGCCCUUGUCUGAUUCUCCCAUGAAACAUCACAACAUCUAUCUUGUCAGGGCUCUAAGGACUCAGAUUUUGUUUUAAUUGUAAUCUAUAGAAAUGGGAAUUGCCUUCAUCAGUAUGAGUUCAGCCACUCAGUAGAUAAAUCCUUUCAGUUCUGAUCAGAAGGUCAUUGGCACAAAGUAUUAACUCUCUCACAGAUGCUGCCUAACCUGAGUAUCCCUGAUGUUCUGUGUUUGAAUUCACUUAUCUGCUAGGCUAAGUACUUAAUUGAAAGAGUAAUUUAUCUUAAGAAGAUAUUUCUUUGGUCAGAGUAGUAUAGCAUAGACACAGGCCCUUCAGCCCAAAUGGUCCAUGCUAACCCUACCAUUCUCCUGCUGGUCCAAGAUGCCUGCAUUUAGCCCAUAACCCACCAAGUCCCUCCUUUCCAUUAAAUGUUGCAAUAGUAUCUGCCUCAACCAUUUCCUCUGGUAGCAUAUUCUAAAUGGUUGCUACCCUCUGCAUAGUUACUCUUUAGGCCUCUUAAAUUCCUCCCCUCUUAUCUUCUUUAUGUAGCCUCUAGUUUUAACUCCCAACCCUGCAGCGUAUUCCUCGUAACACGGAGGGAAAAAAAAAUCACUGACAAUUACAUCAGGCAAUACCAUCUUCAACUGCAUGAGAAUUUGGAACAAUCUUAAAAAUCCAGGAUUAAGGCAAUUUAAAUUCCACUGAUGUACCUAUGAAAUACCUUACAGCAUUUCUCCUGUGGCCACUGAUGGAUAGGAAGUAGUUCCAUAUCAUGGUAUGGAUAAAUCCAGCCAGGAAAUGAUCAAACUCUACUGAUAUAAUGUCUUUAAUAUAGGAAGAUGUCCUAGGUAUCUCAGAGAAUACAGGGAGGAAGUACUGAUCCUUCAUGAAGGCACGAUGGGAAGAGUUAUCAAAAGCUUCAUCCAAAGCGAAAGAGAGAAUCCUAAGCAGGAAGGACAAAGGUACUGUACACUUUCACCAAAGAUGAAAGGGAGACAGGAGGAUAAGGUAGACUGUGUGUUGGGCCAAGUUUCGAAGUUGCUGGAGAAGGAUCAAGCCUGGAGAAUCAUGAAAAGGGUGGUGGCUUGGAACCAUGGAGAAAUAUUUUGGUUUCAAGCAACUACAAUAUGAUCUAUUGUGGGAACAGACAGUCAACAAGAAUGAGAAUGUGCAGGCCUUGUCUAGAGUGAGACUUCAGAAAAUCUAAACAGAAGAGACCACAAAUGCUGGAACCUGGCAGAACGUACAAAGCUGGAAGAGCUCAGACACUGUCUAUGAAUGUAAGUGGAUGGUCAACGUUUGGGGUGUGACCUUUCAUCCGGACUAUAGACAAUGUUGGAUAAGUUGUAAAAAAAGUCAAGUCAGGAGGGUAAGGAAAGGGAUUCCAAUAGAUGGCAGCACAAGUUGGUGUGAAGAUGAGUACUGUUAUACAAUGAUCUUUCUAAGGUGUGCGUAAGCACACAUCUUUUGCUACUAGCGCACGAAGGAAUUUAAACUGCGCACAAAAGGUUGUUACCCUCUACCUCGUUGGUAUGUUAAGUAUGUUUCACAAUCGUACACAAUCAUAUUUCUUUUUCUGGUUUCUGAUGUGGAUGGUGUUAAUGACUUGGUGCAAUUAUUUGUCUGCAGGUUUUAGAACUGGCUUAUUUAUACCCUCAUUGAAGAAAUUAUUGAUUCACUAUGUCGAAUUCCAAAGUGCAAAAGAACUGCUCUAGUUCAUUUAAAGCAGAAUGGCUUGCUAGCGGUUAAAAUGAAUGCCUCUCUAUAUAAAAUUUAGUGCACACGUUUUGUCACCAGACAAAAUUUGCAUAGCACAAGAUUUUUGCGCAAACUGGUCAUUGUGAAUUAGAGGGAACAUUGUUGUUAUAGAUGAGAUUUGGUAGUGAAAGACUUUUUGAAAGCUAAGAAAACUAUUGGUAAAACAUCGGAUCCUAAAAUUCAUAAAGAGAGUAGAAAAGUCAUUCUGAACUUAGUCGGUUCACAGCUGAUUUUGGUUGCUUCAUUGUAGAAUGGAUGUGAAGAUCCUAGAUACAAUCUAACAAUUACAGUGAUGAUGAAUUUCAGUUUUAGGAUUAUGUUGGAGCCCCAAGUUCAGAGAUUUUAUGAAGGCAUACAAGACUGACUGGUUUCAUGGAUUAAUAGAGGGAACAAGAAGUGGUGGAUUUGGGUUCAAUUGCAACAAUAACGAAGUCUGGGGAAGGACAGGGGAGGUGUAUGAAGGGCUAUGGUCCAGGUGUGGGUCAACAGGACCAGGCAGAAUAACAGUUUGUCACUGACUAGAUGGACUAAAGAGCCUGUUUCUGUGCGGUAGUACUUGAUGACAGCGCAAAAGGCACUGAAGAAACAUGGCAGGUCAGGCAGCAUCCAUGGAGGAAAAUGGAGAGUCAAUAUUUUGGGUCAAGACCCUGCGGAAAUAGGUCACAGAUUAAAUCCUGGGUGAAAAAUACAAGGCGGUUGUGAAGGAAGACCCUCACACACAGCAUACUUGAGAUGCGUAUCUCCAUCCAGGGAUCUAGUGGAAAGGGCUAGCACAGGCUCCAAGGACUGAAUGGCCUCUUUUGUAGUAACAAUUAUAAUAGAGCAGGAAGCUCAAGUUAUAUCUUACGGGAGUGUCUGUAUACAGACUUUUUUAUCAGCAGGGUUAGGGUAGUGAUGGAAGGUUGGAGUGCUUGUACAAGAAUUUGAAUUCUUGGAGGGAGACGCUCUAGUUUUCUGAUAUUUUUCGAUAACACUCCAUCAUCUAUCUCCAAGUCACCAUGGUGAGCUGAUAGACAGUGAUACUUGGCCUAGAGGCAGCACAUAAAUGAGGGGCUGGGAUGAAGGAGAAAGACCACCAGUCAUAACAAAAAAGCCAGAAGAGAAAGGGGAGAUGAGACCUCAGUGUUGUGGGUGACUUUGCCUGGGCUAUGUCUGUGCUGCAGGCAGGGCAGAUAUGAAAUUGGGUUCAAAUUUUGCUUGAUGGUUGCAUCUGGGAAGAAGAUAUCACCAGAGACCUUGGGUGAGAAGUUUGGUGUUAUCUGGGGGAGGGACAGAUGGGUGAGGGUGGAAUGUUUUUGAGGAGAUGGAGACAAUGGUAGAAGUGGAGGUAGAGACAUGAAGGGGGGAAAUAGGAAAACGAAUUACUAGCAUCUGCAGCAAAUGUAUGAAUGGACUA